AGUGAACGCUGGCGGUAGGCCUAACACAUGCAAGUCGAACGGCAGCACAGUAAGAGCUGGCUCUUACGGGUGGCGAGUGGCGGACGGGUGAGGAAUACAUCGGAAUCUACUUUUUCGUGGGGGAUAACGUAGGGAAACUUACGCUAAUACCGCAUACGACCUACGGGUGAAAGCAGGGGAUCUUCGUACCUUGCGCGAGUGAAUGAGCCGAUGUCGGAUUAGCUAGUUGGCGGGGUAAAGGCACACCAAGGCGACGAGCCGUAGCUGGUCUGAGAGGAGGAUCGGCCACACUGGAACUGAGACACGGUCCAGACUCCUACGGGAGGCAGCAGUGGGGAAUAUUGGACAAUGGGCGGAAGCCUGAUCCAGCGAUACCGCGUGGGUGAAGAAGGCGUUCGGGUUGUAAAGCCCUUUUGUUGGGAAAGAAAAGCAGCAGGUUAAUACCCCGCUGUUCUGACGGUACCCAAAGAAUAAGCACCGGCUAACUUCGUG
RNAcentral lists this ribosomal RNA (492 nucleotides) under uncultured bacterium. RNAcentral describes it as "partial 16S ribosomal RNA". It matches the Rfam family "Bacterial small subunit ribosomal RNA", at positions 29 to 507 of the family's 1533-position model. The record is from RNAcentral.